GUGGGGAAUCUUAGACAAUGGGGGAAACCCUGAUCUAGCCAUGCCGCGUGAGCGAUGAAGGCCUUAGGGUUGUAAAGCUCUUUCAGUGGGGAAGAUAAUGACGGUACCCACAGAAGAAGCCCCGGCUAACUCCGUGCCAGCAGCCGCGGUAAUACGGAGGGGGCUAGCGUUGUUCGGAAUUACUGGGCGUAAAGCGCACGUAGGCGGGCGGAGAAGUCAGAGGUGAAAUCCCAGGGCUCAACCUUGGAACUGCCUUUGAAACUUUCUGUCUUGAGGUCGAGAGAGGUGAGUGGAAUUCCGAGUGUAGAGGUGAAAUUCGUAGAUAUUCGGAGGAACACCAGUGGCGAAGGCGGCUCACUGGCUCGAUACUGACGCUGAGGUGCGAAAGCGUGGGGAGCAAACAGGAUUAGAUACCCGUGUAGUCC
RNAcentral lists this ribosomal RNA (425 nucleotides) under uncultured bacterium. RNAcentral describes it as "bacterial SSU rRNA". It matches the Rfam family "Bacterial small subunit ribosomal RNA", at positions 354 to 796 of the family's 1533-position model. The record is from RNAcentral.